AACGAACGCUGGCGGCAUGCCUAACACAUGCAAGUCGAACGGGAUCCUAGCUUGCUAGGUGAGAGUGGCGGACGGGUGAGUAACACGUGGGAAUCUGCCUUUUUGGUUCGGGAUAACCGCGGGAAACUGCGGCUAAUACCGAAUGCCCUCGAGAGAGGAAAGAUUUAUCGCCAGAAGAGGAGCCCGCGUCCGAUUAGGUAGUUGGUGGGGUAAAAGCCUACAAGCCGACGAUCGGUAGCUGGUCUGAGAGGAUGAUCAGCCACACUGGGACUGAGAUACGGCCCAGACUCCUACGGAGGCAGCAGUGGGGAAUAUUGGACAAUGGGGGCAACCCUGAUCCAGCAAUGCCGCGUGAGUGAUGAAGGCCUUA
RNAcentral lists this ribosomal RNA (370 nucleotides) under uncultured bacterium. Its description in RNAcentral is "bacterial SSU rRNA". It matches the Rfam family "Bacterial small subunit ribosomal RNA", at positions 29 to 419 of the family's 1533-position model. The record is from RNAcentral.